This 750-nucleotide ribosomal RNA is filed under the name Haloarcula sp. W5-1. Its description in RNAcentral is "bacterial SSU rRNA". It matches the Rfam family "Archaeal small subunit ribosomal RNA", at positions 45 to 796 of the family's 1478-position model. Lineage: Archaea; Methanobacteriati; Methanobacteriota; Halobacteria; Halobacteriales; Haloarculaceae. The record is from RNAcentral.
UAGGCCAUGCUAGUUGCACGAGUUCAGACUCGUAGCAUAUAGCUCAGUAACACGUGGCCAAACUACCCUACAGACCGCGAUAACCUCGGGAAACUGAGGCCAAUAGCGGAUAUAACUCUCAGACUGGAGUGUCGAGAGUUAGAAACGUUCCGGCGCUGUAGGAUGUGGCUGCGGCCGAUUAGGUAGAUGGUGGGGUAACGGCCCACCAUGCCGAUAAUCGGUACAGGUUGUGAGAGCAAGAGCCUGGAGACGGUAUCUGAGACAAGAUACCGGGCCCUACGGGGCGCAGCAGGCGCGAAACCUUUACACUGCACGACAGUGCGAUAGGGGGACUCCGAGUGUGAGGGCAUAUAGCCCUCGCUUUUCUGUACCGUAAGGUGGUACAGGAACAAGGACUGGGCAAGACCGGUGCCAGCCGCCGCGGUAAUACCGGCAGUCCGAGUGAUGGCCGAUAUUAUUGGGCCUAAAGCGUCCGUAGCUUGCUGUGUAAGUCCAUUGGGAAAUCGACCAGCUCAACUGGUCGGCGUCCGGUGGAAACUACACAGCUUGGGGCCGAGAGACUCAACGGGUACGUCCGGGGUAGGAGUGAAAUCCUGUAAUCCUGGACGGACCACCAAUGGGGAAACCACGUUGAGAGACCGGACCCGACAGUGAGGGACGAAAGCCAGGGUCUCGAACCGGAUUAGAUACCCGGGUAGUCCUGGCUGUAAACAAUGCUCGCUAGGUAUGUCACGCGCCAUGAGCACGUGA